RNAcentral lists this ribosomal RNA (274 nucleotides) under uncultured bacterium. Its description in RNAcentral is "partial 16S ribosomal RNA". It matches the Rfam family "Bacterial small subunit ribosomal RNA", at positions 523 to 796 of the family's 1533-position model. The record is from RNAcentral.
AUACGGAGGGGGUUAGCGUUGUUCGGAAUUACUGGGCGUAAAGCGCACGUAGGCGGAUUGGAAAGUUGGGGGUGAAAUCCCAGGGCUCAACCCUGGAACUGCCUCCAAAACUAACAGUCUAGAGUUCGCGAGAGGUGAGUGGAAUUCCAAGUGUAGAGGUGAAAUUCGUAGAUAUUUGGAGGAACACCAGUGGCGAAGGCGGCUCACUGGCUCGAUACUGACGCUGAGGUGCGAAAGCGUGGGGAGCAAACAGAAUUAGAAACCCUAGUAGUCC